UCGGUAUUGUUGCAACGAUAUUUCGUGCUCAUCGUGCUUUCAAUUAGUGCGCGAUUAUUCGUUAAUCGAUAGUGGUUGAUCAAUAAUUUAUGCAUGCGGUCACUCUGUUUUAUUGUUAUUGUUUUGGUUUUCUUUUUUUUAUUUUUGCAAGUGCUUAAUUUGUUUAUAUGCGGGGUGUGCCAUAUAAGUCAGUGCUUAAUUAAAAUAAAUGCGAUCCACAACAAUAAAGCAAACACAAAAGCAUAUCCUGUUAUUGCACAUUGCUGAGUAAGUCAUGCAAGGAUCAGCUAAAUUCAUAUGUAUAUCAUUUCUUACUCACCAACCACUCCAGCAUGUUCUGCGUUGGCACUGGCGCUUGAAAUGGAUCCGCAUCGUCGGCAUCAAACUCAUAAAUAUUAUCCUCAGUGCGCACACCGGGACCAAAGUCAAUUGUUUCGUUAUCAAAGUGAGCACCAACCACGGAUACUGUGAGUGCCAUUAAAGGUCUUCUUCUCAAUUUUGGAUCAUGCAUCGAAUAGCUUUCGAUUUCGUUGCCAUUCUUAAAGCCACACAACACUUUAAACA
Drosophila sulfurigaster albostrigata is the source of this 564-nucleotide long non-coding RNA. RefSeq lists it as uncharacterized. The transcript has 2 exons. The record is from RefSeq and is a predicted model, not a curated record. Lineage: Eukaryota; Metazoa; Arthropoda; Insecta; Diptera; Drosophilidae.